Molecule: long non-coding RNA, 794 nt
Organism: Mastomys coucha (southern multimammate mouse)
Lineage: Eukaryota; Metazoa; Chordata; Mammalia; Rodentia; Muridae
Exons: 3
Source: RefSeq, a predicted model, not a curated record
GCGCCCCCCUGCACCUGUCCCCGCCAGCAGGGACGCUACUCCCCAAGCAAACACAGCAGGGCACAGCCAGGAUCCUGCACCGUGACAGCUCCCCUCGCACGCCUGGCAGCCGGAAAAAUCGGCCGCAGCAGCCAUAGCCAAGUCCAAGCCUUCAUCCCAGGAGCCACCCGAGGCUGGUGCGGGUCCGGAGAGCCAUGCAGGACACCCGGACUCACCAGCUGCAGAGCGCAGAGCGCAAGAAGAGUGCAGCGGCCGGAGCAAGAGCCCAUGAAUCUCACACAUUGCUGAGUGGUGAGCAACAGGCCUGGGCCUCCCUGGGUCCCAGGGCAGAAAGAGAAUUUCAAGCAAAAGUAUUGAGACCACCACCAGUUCAGUGUAGAAUGGAGCCCACACUGCCAAUGACUGUGAUUCCAUGAACGAAUAUGGGCACUAGACUGGAACCAGGUAAGUGAACUCUAAACCUGUGACAGAAACUCCAACAGUGAAUGGAGAAAGGGGUCCAUUGUCCCUUGAGGUGACACAGGUCCCAAGUGUAUGGAUUUUAAUUUAACAAAAUGCCUCACGGUAUGUUCCAGUGCAGGCGCGUUUGAUUUGACCUCAAUAAAACAUUGACUUUUGGCCAAUUUGAAAGUCAAACGAGCCGGCGGCGAUGGCUCACGUCUUUAGAUCCACUCGGGAGGCAGAAGCAGGCGGAUCUUAAGUUCAAAGCCAACCUGGUCACAGAGUGAGCUCCAGGACAGCCAGGGCUACACAGAGAAACCUGGUCUCUUUAAAAAAAAAGCCCAAACAAACAA